Molecule: long non-coding RNA, 1080 nt
Filed under: Anthonomus grandis grandis
Lineage: Eukaryota; Metazoa; Arthropoda; Insecta; Coleoptera; Curculionidae
Description: uncharacterized LOC126745365
Source: RNAcentral
AGCGAUGUAAAUCCAGUGUCAAUUUUUUAAUUUACGAAAUUUUCUCCCUUUCUGUAAACAGAAUAGGAUAUGAUAUACAUACGUUAAUAAAUACACCAAAAACAAAAAUUUACUUAAACAUCGUUGAAUAAACCUAUAUUUAACGAUAAUAGACUAAGUCUGACGUCACACGGGCUGUGACGUCUCGAAACCUUUCCAAACAAAUAAAUAUUACACUUAAAAUUGAGCUAUGAAUUAAGAGUAGUUGUGCCUUUAUUACGAGAGAGUUUAUCGAUAUUUCUACGGUCCCUAGAGAAGUUUUUCAUCAGCAUCAGAACAGCUUUUAAAUAUGUGCUCAAGCACUGGCGAUUUUUUUUGGAAUAAUAAUAAAGUCAUUAAAAAAGGUGAAAAAGCGCUGGAGUCCAAAUCACAUGGAAAGAACUCCAUUUCUUGCAGAUUUAGAUGAUCAUGCCAGUAUGAAAGAAAAAUAUUGAGAUAAGCUUAUAUAUUGAUAAGAUAAGAUGAUAAGAUGAUAAGGUAUUGAGAUAAGUAGGUCAAUACCUAACCUUUGUGUGUAAAUUAAAGAAAAUAAUCCUCAAUGGGAGGUAUGUCCUUCAACACAUCUGGAAUUUAUUCCCAUACCUCUCAUGAUGACUUCUUAAGGAGGUACCUAAAGGACAGGGUUAAGAUUUACAACAUGCUUCUCGCUCUGUAACUACCAGAGCAUUUUACAGAAAUGAGCCAGGCUUAUCAGAAUUACAUCUUUGGCUUCCAUCGAAUCUGCAAAAUGAUACAUUAAGAUGUCUUUCAGUUAGUUGUCUGGUUUCAUGUUGUUUUUAGGGAUUCAAGAGCAUUAUUGUAGAGUCCCCCCAGGUCACUAUACCAUAGCAUAUCAGAGAUUCCACAAAUGAUUGGUACAACAUUAUUAAAGUUUUUUAUCCAAUAUAUUUCUAAUAAGGAAAAAUUUAUGAAUUAAGCUUUUGAGUUUAGAUGUUAAGUUUUGAAUGUGUGGUGUUCAUUUUAAUUUUUUGUUUAUUAUUAUACCUAGAUGUUUAGUGUUUUCUACUUCUUUUAUAAUAAAGUUUUGUUGUUCAUCAAUAA